AGAGUUUGAUCCUGGCUCAGGAUGAACGCUGGCGGCAUGCCUAACACAUGCAAGUCGAACGAAGUUACCGGAGCAGCGGACUUAGGUUCAACGCACCGACUAACUUAGUGGCGGAUGGGUGAGUAACACGUGAGCAACCAACCUUUUACUCGGGAAUAACAUGGGGAAACCCAUGCUAAUACCUGAUAUUAUCAAGAAAUGGCAUCAUAAUUUGAUGAAAGAUUUAUCGGUAAAAGACGGGCUCGCGUCCGAUUAGCUAGUUGGUAAGGUAAUGGCUUACCAAGGCCACGAUCGGUAGCCGGACUGAGAGGUCGACCGGCCACAUUGGGACUGAGAACGGCCCAGACUCCUACGGGAGGCAGCAGUGGGGAAUAUUGGGCAAUGGACGCAAGUCUGACCCAGCGAUGCCGCGUGAAGGAUGGAAGGCCCUCGGGUUGUAAACUUCUUUAGACAGGGAAGAAAGAAAUGACAUUACCUGUAGAAUAAGCCACGGCUAACUACGUGCCAGCAGCCGCGGUAAUACGUAGGUGGCGAGCGUUAUCCGGAAUUACUGGGUGUAAAGGGCGCGUAGGCGGGUAUGCAAGUUGGAUGUGAAAUUCCGGGGCUUAACUCCGGAUUGUCAUCUAAAACUGUGUAUCUUGAGUGUCAGAGGGGAAAGUGGAAUUCCUAGUGGAGUGGUAAAAUGCGUAGAUAUUAGGAGGAACAUCGGUGGCGAAGGCGACUUUCUGGCUGACAACUGACGCUGAGGCGCGAAAGCGUGGGUAGCGAACAGGAUUAGAUACCCUGGUAGUCCACGCCGUAAACGCUGAUUACUAGGUGUAGGGGGUAUAGACUCCCUCUGUGCCGCAGUUAACGCAUUAAGUAAUCCACCUGGGGAGUACGGCCGCAAGGUUAAAACUCAAAGGAAUUGACGGGGGCCCGCACAAGCAGUGGAGUAUGUGGUUUAAUUCGAAGCAACGCGAAGAACCUUACCAGGGCUUGACAUCCUCGGACGACACUAGAGAUAGUGUUUUCUCUUCGGAGACUGAGAGACAGGUGGUGCAUGGUUGUCGUCAGCUCGUGUCGUGAGAUGUUCGGUUAAGUCCGGCAACGAGCGCAACCCUUAUUGUUAGUUGCCAUCAUUUAGUUGGGCACUCUAGCGAGACUGCCGUUGACAAAACGGAGGAAGGUGGGGACGACGUCAAAUCAUCAUGCCCCUUAUGUCCUGGGCUACACACGUACUACAAUGGUAACAACAGCGAGCAGCGAAGCCGCGAGGCGAAGCAAAUCUUCAAAUGUUAUCUCAGUUCAGAUUGCAGGCUGCAACUCGCCUGCAUGAAGCAGGAAUUGCUAGUAAUGGCAGGUCAGCAUACUGCCGUGAAUACGUUCCCGGGCCUUGUACACACCGCCCGUCACACCAUGAGAGUCUGUAACGCCCGAAGUCAGUAGUUUAACCGUUUACGGAGGACGCUGCCGAAGGUGGGACAGAUGAUUGGGGUGAAGUCGUAACAAGGUAGCCGUAUCGGAAGGUGCGGCUG
RNAcentral lists this ribosomal RNA (1517 nucleotides) under metagenome. RNAcentral's name for it is "bacterial SSU rRNA". It matches the Rfam family "Bacterial small subunit ribosomal RNA". The record is from RNAcentral.